Molecule: ribosomal RNA, 1241 nt
Filed under: metagenome
Description: bacterial LSU rRNA
Rfam family: Bacterial large subunit ribosomal RNA
Source: RNAcentral
UGAUGACGAGACGCUAAGGCGUUGAAGCAGUGUAUAUCAGACUUCCAAGAAAAGCUCGCAAUGUCACAAAUAAGAAAUGCCUGUACCAUAACCGACACAGGUGGGUAGGUAGAGUAUACUAAGGGGCGCGAGAUAACUCUCUCUAAGGAACUCGGCAAAAUGACUCCGUAACUUCGGGAGAAGGAGUGCCUUAUUUAUAAGGUUGCAAUAACAAGAUCCAAGCAACUGUUUAUCAAAAACACAGGUCUCCGCUAAGUCGUAAGACGAUGUAUGGGGGCUGACGCCUGCCCAGUGCCAGAAGGUUAAAGAAGUUGGUUAGUGUAUGCGAAGCUGAUGACUGAAGCCCUGGUGAACGGCGGCCGUAACAAUAACGGUCCUAAGGUAGCGAAAUUCCUUGUCGGGUAAGUUCCGACCCGCACGAAAGGCGUAAUGAUUUGGAUACUGUCUCGGAGAGAGGCUCGGUGAAAUAGACUUGUCUGUGAAGAUGCGGACUACCUGCACCAGGACAGAAAGACCCUAUGAAGCUUUACUGUAACUUGAAAUUGGAAUUGGACUUUGCUUGCGCAGUAUAGGUGGGAAGCGUUGAAAAUAUUCUUGCGGGAGUAUUGGAGCUAUCAGUGAGAUACCACUCUUGUAAUGUUAGAUUUCUAACUUUGAACCAUAAUCUGGUCAAAGAACAGUUUCAGGUGGGCAGUUUGACUGGGGCGGUCGCCUCCCAAAUGGUAACGGAGGCGUACAAAGGUUUCCUCUGAACGGAUAGAAAUCGUAUCUAGAGUAUAAAGGCAUAAGGAAGCUUGACUGUGAGACCUACAAGUCGAGCAGGGACGAAAGUCGGUCUUAGUGAUCUGACGGUACUGAGUGGAAAGGCCGUCACUCAACGGAUAAAAGUUACUCUAGGAUAACAGGCUGAUCUCCCCCAAGAGUUCACAUCGACGGGGAGGUUUGGCACCUCGAUGUCGGCUCAUCGCAUCCUGGGGCGGUAGUACGUCCCAAGGGUUGGGCUGUUCGCCCAUGAAAGCGGUACGCGAGCUGGGUUCAGAACGUCGUGAGACAGUUCGGUCCAUAUCCGGUGUAGGCGCUAGAAUAUUGAGAGGAGCCUUCUUUAGUACGAGAGGACCGAGAAGGACACACCGCUGGUGUACCAGUUAUCGUGCCAACGGUAAACGCUGGGUAGCUAUGUGUGGAGUGGAUAACCGCUGAAAGCAUCUAAGUGGGAAGCCCACCUCGAGAUGAGUAUUCUC